GCCUCUAUGUGUGGAUGUAGAUUCUACACACAGAUCUCGACCAAUCAGAGAGCUUACAGAAACCAAUUUGAAUUCCCGCAAUUAUAUGGGGUAAUGUAUCGUCAUAUGCGAAUUUUCACUUGAUGUGAUUGUGAGACGGAAGUAGACAUUUGCGAAGGAAGGUCAACAGAUGAAUUCCAAAGGAAGCUCUUGUGGUGUAAGGGAGUACCCCAGCAUUUGCUUGGAGGGACAAAGGUAAACCAAUGAGAAUCCCUGCAAACCUGUGGCACAGGGCAGGAAUUAGAAGGCCUUCAAAAUAAGCAGUGGGGUAGCACAUUACCUGAAUCCAGCACUGAAGAUAAUGUAAAUCCUUUGAAAAUGUGGUGGGGUUUUGGUAUUUGGGGAGUAAGGUAACAAUUACAAAUUAUAUUUAUGAAAGAAUUAUGAGAAUAUUAAAUUCACAGAAUGUUUGCUACCAAUGAGUACAGAAGCUUUUGUUCUCCCAUCUGCUACCUGAAAACAAGACUAAAAUAUACACAACAGUAAUUUUACCUGUAGUUUUGAAUGGGUGUGAAUUUCACACUGAAACUUAGUCUCUUGUAUCAAUGGAAAAAUGCAGCUUGAGGGUGCUCAUGAUAUUAUUAGUACCUAAGAAGUAACGGGAGACUGGAGAAAAUGCGGAACAAGGAUCUCGUACUCAAUACUAGGAAAUAACAUGGGACAUUAGAGGGCAUUUAGCAAGCAUGGGCGUUACCAGAAAUAUAACAUUUGGGUCAGAGAACUCAAAGAGUUAGCUUUUUAAAGGUCUUUGGACAAGUGAACUACUAAAAUGGCUCUUAAAGGUGUAGAGUGGGUCAGUGUGCACUGGAUUGAGUACUGUGAAAAGAGCAAUGAACCUUUCGCUUCCGUAAAGUGCUGGGAAUUUAUCAAGCAGCUGAAAGACCUCUGGCUUCUACUGGACCUCUGCUCCAUGCAGUCUAUAUAACUUACAGUGAUCUAUUUUCUGUCGAAGCUUAUCACCUUCAACAUCCAAUGCCAAACAAAACUGCUCCACAUUAUCCAUGUAAAUCAGUUAUUGUGACUAAUGCCUCCAGUUAUGGUCUUAGCAACCUUCCUGACCUCUGUCCAUUUCUGAGAUUGGUGACCUAUGACACUGGCCCCAUUAUCUCCAAUGAUGAAUAGCCUACAGAAGGAAAUUACAUUGCAUGGUCUCUGAACCUUGGUGGUGAGGCAGGGUUUUCUUCUUAUCCACUAAGGAUUUACCUUAUCAGAGAUAACAGAAAGGAAGACAUUUUAAAGUAUGUGAACCCAAGACCUUUGGUACAGUCUAAAGUACACUCUAAACCCAGUGUUCACUAAUGACUCAUUCAGACUCAUUAAGCAAACAGGCUCAAAUAAUAUUUUUGACUUGUAUUUGGGAGGUGGCAAUUUUGAAUCUUGGCCAAUCACCUAUCCUGAGGUUUUCCUCUGUCCAUCCUAGCAAAUUCUGGGAUAGUACCUCAUUUGGGUAUGGCCACUUCUUUCCACAUGCUUUACAAUCUGACCUACUUAUUAACAGAAAUGUCUAGAUGCUUCCAGGUAAAAAUGAGACAUAGAAAAAUGCAUGUGCAUUGGAAACGCCAAAAUCAGCAAUGAUUUCUGAACCGUAGAAUGGGUACCCAAUGUGGAGGAAAGUUGGUACACCACCAACCACAACAGAAAUGCAUUUUUUUUAUUGCAGGUGCAAACCAAAUUCUUAAUUGCUGAAGAGUGCUUUGAUUCCAUGGACUAGUCCUCAAUAAGUUAAUCAGUGCUCAGGCAGUCCAGUAUCCACCCCCCCCCCCCCCACAAGUUUCAUUCUAUUCAUAACAUGAGACCACCAGUCCCUAUCCUGAGCCAGAUAAAUCCGCUAUGCACUGUCUUCAUUUAAGAACCAUUUAGUUAUACCUGAAGCCAGGACAGCACAGUUGGUAUAGUGGCUGGAGGACCGAGGGGUCAGAGUUUGAAUCCUGGUGGGGUCAAGAAUUUUCACUUCAUGUUGUCCAGACUGGCUCUGGGGUCCACCCAACGUCCUCUUCACCGGGUAUCAGGGGCACUUUCCCCGCAGGUAAAGCUGACCCCUCUCCUCCAGCUAGUGCAGAAGUCAAGAAAAUGGAUCUAUAUGAAGGGGGACCCAAAAAUAACCG
Molecule: long non-coding RNA, 2144 nt
Organism: Cryptotermes secundus
Lineage: Eukaryota; Metazoa; Arthropoda; Insecta; Blattodea; Kalotermitidae
Exons: 3
Source: RefSeq, a predicted model, not a curated record